GUCUGACCUAUCCCUGGAGGAAGCACGGGCUAAGUUCGUGCCAGCAGCCGCGGUAAGACGAACCGUGCAAACGUUGUUCGGAAUCACUGGGCUUAAAGGGCGCGUAGGCGGGCCAUCAAGUCAGGGGUGAAAUCCUCCAGCUUAACUGGAGAACAGCCUUUGAUACUGGUGGUCUCGAGUGAGGUAGGGGCAUGCGGAACUGAUGGUGGAGCGGUGAAAUGUGUUGAUAUCAUCAGGAACUCCGGUGGCGAAAGCGGCGUGCUGGACCUCUACUGACGCUGAGGCGCGAAAGCCAGGGGAGCGAACGGGAUUAGAUACCCCGGUAGUCCUAGCUGUAAACGAU
This 343-nucleotide ribosomal RNA is filed under the name uncultured anaerobic ammonium-oxidizing bacterium. RNAcentral's name for it is "bacterial SSU rRNA". It matches the Rfam family "Bacterial small subunit ribosomal RNA", at positions 467 to 810 of the family's 1533-position model. The record is from RNAcentral.